UGCCAAGUACAGCAGACCACCAUGCGCCCACUCUUUGACUCCUUCAACCACCAUGCGCGCUCACUCUUUUGCACGCUCCCUACCAUUUUUGACUCCUUCACCCACGCUUCCUACCUUAACAUGUUCAUCUACUCCCUUAAAUAUCUCCCUCACUUACUCCACCAAAUUAUUUUCAUCGGCUCCCCAAGCUCAUUUCACCAGAAAUCAAGUAUUGAGCAAACAAGCAAAAAUCAGAAUACCAACUGAAAUCCUCGCCAAGGCUUUGUGGAUCGUGAGGACUAGCACUGCUAUACCAAUUCAGAGUUAAGAAUAAACGACAGGCAUUGCCUAAUCAGGUUGAUUGGUCGGUGCUGACGGGGCAGAGCUGAGGCUAGGGUUCAACUCCGUAUUUUGUCUUCCGCUGUUGCAUUAGCUCUUAUUUGUCUUAUGUUUCUCUAUCUUAAAAACUUUUAUGUUAAAUUCUGAAUUAUGUUUCUUAUCGAGCUUAGACUCUCAACUCUAGCACUAUGUUAUUUAAUAUUGGUUAUCAGAAGCAUGAAACCAAACUUGUGAUCCUAAGAUUUAGAAUGUUAUUAAUUGAUUACUAUCAGUUGAUUUAUGUCUUUCUUCA
Salvia miltiorrhiza (redroot sage) is the source of this 610-nucleotide long non-coding RNA. RefSeq lists it as uncharacterized. The record is from RefSeq and is a predicted model, not a curated record. The transcript has 3 exons. Lineage: Eukaryota; Viridiplantae; Streptophyta; Magnoliopsida; Lamiales; Lamiaceae.